AGACCUCUAAUCGGAAAAGACUACCCGCUGAGUUUAAGCAUAUCACUAAGCGGAGGA
This 57-nucleotide ribosomal RNA is filed under the name Filibryum ogatae. RNAcentral's name for it is "partial 26S ribosomal RNA". The record is from RNAcentral. Lineage: Eukaryota; Viridiplantae; Streptophyta; Bryopsida; Hypnales; Hypnaceae.